This 329-nucleotide unclassified non-coding RNA is filed under the name soil metagenome. Its description in RNAcentral is "partial contains 5.8S ribosomal RNA, internal transcribed spacer 2, and large subunit ribosomal RNA". The stretch from base 1 to 120 matches the Rfam family "5.8S ribosomal RNA", at positions 35 to 154 of the family's 154-position model. The record is from RNAcentral.
GAUGAAGAACGUAGUGAAAUGCGAUAAGUAAUGUGAAUUGCAGAAUUCAGUGAAUCAUCGAAUCUUUGAACGCACAUUGCGCCCCUUGGUAUUCCGAGGGGCAUGCCUGUUCGAGCGUCAUUAUAACCCAUCAAGCUCAGCUUGGUGUUGGGGCCUGCUGCACUGGCAGCCCUUAAAAUCAGUGGCGGCGCCAUCUGGCUCUAAGCGUAGUAAUUCUUCUCGCUAUGGAGUCCUGGUGGAUGCUUGCCAUCAACCCCCAAUUUUUCUAUGGUUGACCUCGGAUCAGGUAGGGAUACCCGCUGAACUUAAGCAUAUCAAUAAGCGGAGGA